UACGGAGGGGGCUAGCGUUGUUCGGAAUUACUGGGCGUAAAGCGCACGUAGGCGGGCUGUUAAGUCGGGGGUGAAAUCCCGGGGCUCAACCCCGGAAUGGCCUUCGAUACUGGCAGUCUUGAGGUCUGGAGAGGUGAGUGGAAUUCCGAGUGUAGAGGUGAAAUUCGUAGAUAUUCGGAGGAACACCAGUGGCGAAGGCGGCUCACUGGCCAGAUACUGACGCUGAGGUGCGAAAGCGUGGGGAGCAAAC
This 250-nucleotide ribosomal RNA is filed under the name uncultured bacterium. RNAcentral's name for it is "partial 16S ribosomal RNA". It matches the Rfam family "Bacterial small subunit ribosomal RNA", at positions 524 to 773 of the family's 1533-position model. The record is from RNAcentral.